This 1452-nucleotide ribosomal RNA is filed under the name Weissella confusa. Its description in RNAcentral is "16S ribosomal RNA". It matches the Rfam family "Bacterial small subunit ribosomal RNA". Lineage: Bacteria; Bacillati; Bacillota; Bacilli; Lactobacillales; Lactobacillaceae. The record is from RNAcentral.
AUACAUGCAAGUCGAACGCUUUGUGGUUCAACUGAUUUGAAGAGCUUGCUCAGAUAUGACGAUGGACAUUGCAAAGAGUGGCGAACGGGUGAGUAACACGUGGGAAACCUACCUCUUAGCAGGGGAUAACAUUUGGAAACAGAUGCUAAUACCGUAUAACAAUGACAACCGCAUGGUUGUUAUUUAAAAGAUGGUUCUGCUAUCACUAAGAGAUGGUCCCGCGGUGCAUUAGCUAGUUGGUAAGGUAAUGGCUUACCAAGGCGAUGAUGCAUAGCCGAGUUGAGAGACUGAUCGGCCACAAUGGGACUGAGACACGGCCCAUACUCCUACGGGAGGCAGCAGUAGGGAAUCUUCCACAAUGGGCGAAAGCCUGAUGGAGCAACGCCGCGUGUGUGAUGAAGGGUUUCGGCUCGUAAAACACUGUUGUAAGAGAAGAAUGACAUUGAGAGUAACUGUUCAAUGUGUGACGGUAUCUUACCAGAAAGGAACGGCUAAAUACGUGCCAGCAGCCGCGGUAAUACGUAUGUUCCAAGCGUUAUCCGGAUUUAUUGGGCGUAAAGCGAGCGCAGACGGUUAUUUAAGUCUGAAGUGAAAGCCCUCAGCUCAACUGAGGAAUUGCUUUGGAAACUGGAUGACUUGAGUGCAGUAGAGGAAAGUGGAACUCCAUGUGUAGCGGUGAAAUGCGUAGAUAUAUGGAAGAACACCAGUGGCGAAGGCGGCUUUCUGGACUGUAACUGACGUUGAGGCUCGAAAGUGUGGGUAGCAAACAGGAUUAGAUACCCUGGUAGUCCACACCGUAAACGAUGAGUGCUAGGUGUUUGAGGGUUUCCGCCCUUAAGUGCCGCAGCUAACGCAUUAAGCACUCCGCCUGGGGAGUACGACCGCAAGGUUGAAACUCAAAGGAAUUGACGGGGACCCGCACAAGCGGUGGAGCAUGUGGUUUAAUUCGAAGCAACGCGAAGAACCUUACCAGUCUUGACAUCCCUUGACACUCCAGAGAUGGAGCGUUCCCUUCGGGGACAAGGUGACAGGUGGUGCAUGGUUGUCGUCAGCUCGUGUCGUGAGAUGUUGGGUUAAGUCCCGCAACGAGCGCAACCCUUAUUACUAGUUGCCAGCAUUCAGUUGGGCACUCUAGUGAGACUGCCGGUGACAAACCGGAGGAAGGUGGGGAUGACGUCAAAUCAUCAUGCCCCUUAUGACCUGGGCUACACACGUGCUACAAUGGCGUAUACAACGAGUUGCCAACCCGCGAGGGUGAGCUAAUCUCUUAAAGUACGUCUCAGUUCGGAUUGUAGGCUGCAACUCGCCUACAUGAAGUCGGAAUCGCUAGUAAUCGCGGAUCAGCACGCCGCGGUGAAUACGUUCCCGGGUCUUGUACACACCGCCCGUCACACCAUGAGAGUUUGUAACACCCAAAGCCGGUGGGGUAACCUUCGGGAGCCAGCCGUCUAA